This 482-nucleotide ribosomal RNA is filed under the name uncultured bacterium. RNAcentral's name for it is "bacterial SSU rRNA". It matches the Rfam family "Bacterial small subunit ribosomal RNA", at positions 903 to 1397 of the family's 1533-position model. The record is from RNAcentral.
AAAGGAAUAGACGGGGACCCGCACAAGCAGCGGAGCGUGUGGUUUAAUUCGAGGCUACGCGCAGAACCUUACCAGGGAUUGACAUGGCUGUGGUAGUGAAGCGAAAGCGGAACGACCCUUCGGGGAGCAGUCACAGGUGAUGCAUGGCUGUCGUCAGCUCGUGCCGUGAGGUGUUUGGUUAAGUCCACUAACGAGCGCAACCCUUAGCCUCAGUUAUAAGUGUCUGAGGCGACUGCCGGUAUUAAGCCGGAGGAAGGUGGGGAUGACGUCAAGUCCGCAUGUCCUUUAUAUCCUGGGCUACACACACGCUACAAUGGCCAGUACAAUGGGUCGCCAAGCCGCGAGGCGGAGCCAAUCCUAAAAAGCUGGUCUCAGUUCGGAUUGCAGGCUGCAACCCGCCUGCAUGAAGUCGGAGUUGCUAGUAACCGCAGGACAGCUAUACUGCGGUGAAUACGUUCCCGGGUCUUGUACACACCGCCCGU